Non-coding RNA from Taeniopygia guttata (zebra finch), 479 nucleotides. Lineage: Eukaryota; Metazoa; Chordata; Aves; Passeriformes; Estrildidae. The record is from RefSeq and is a predicted model, not a curated record.
ACAAAUACAGAAAGGAACAAUUGGUCUUGCUCCAGCAACUGAAGAAGAAUUCUGAUUACAUUAUCUGAAUGUAGAAGAUGACCAAAGGAGCAAAACUUCAGGAGCACAGAAGAGGCUCAGGAUGUACAUCAGGCAUCUCUAAUGUGGCCCUGUCUCUUGAGAUGUGCUAUUAACAUGGAGUUCCAGAGCCAGUUUAAAUGUGAUUAAAUAGCAAAGGGGCUCCAGGAGGCAGAGACAGGCUGCUUUAAGAAGGGAUAAGCAGCAGCAAUUGCCUUUUACAAUCAGCUUCUCAUCAUUGCUACCUGCCUGCAAGCAAUCUCACGCUCCAGAGAGGCUUUUUAUUUCCACUUUAUGGCACACAAUCCUGAGGGGAGAUGUGGGUUCAAACUUUCUCGGAGGAAGGGACGCUGACAAGCCUGCAUCCUGUGCAAAUGCAGAUAAACCAUUGAGGCAAGGCAUGGUCUGCACAUACUUAUCAG